RNAcentral lists this ribosomal RNA (1338 nucleotides) under Triticum aestivum (bread wheat). RNAcentral describes it as "partial small subunit ribosomal RNA". Lineage: Eukaryota; Viridiplantae; Streptophyta; Magnoliopsida; Poales; Poaceae. The record is from RNAcentral.
AUGAACCGCCUUCUCCGUCGCACCUGCUCGGUGGACCUCGACAAGCCGCCGUGCAACCCCUUCACCCCAAUCCCCGCUGUCCUCCCAGCGACGCCUGCCGCCGUGCCCGCACCACGCCGCGCCGUCCUCGCCGAUCGCGGCAAGGCCAACGUCCCCGCGGUGCCUGUGCCCGCCGCUGCGGCCGACGGCGCCUCUUCUUCAUCUGCGCCGCGUACGGUGCGCCUCGCUCCACAGCCUGCGGCUGGUGUCCUCCGCACGACCGGGAGCACACUUGUCCCUGCGCCGGGCGGGCCGGGCCGCGCCAUCGUUCCCCAUCUCGCGCUCGGCGGCCUUCGCAGCUCCGACGCCGGCCCCUCCUCCGCGGCCGCGGGUCUGCCGCCCUCCAUCGCCCACUUCUUCUCGGCCAAACUCCAACUUGAGUCGGGCAACUACUCCCGUUGGCGCCAGCUCUUCUAUAGCAUCUGUUGCAAGUACGAGGUCCAACACCACCUCAACGUCGCCGUCGAGCCGCUCGGCCAAAGCGCCGUUUGGCGCAACGACGACCUGACCGUCGUGCUCUGGAUGCACGGCGUGGUCGACGAAGAACUCCUCGAUGUCGUCGCCACCGCGGCCAGCACCGCCUACGACAUCUGGACGCAGCUCCACCUCCUCUUCAUGGACAACCAGUCGGGCCGCGCCGUCAUCCUCGGCGCCGAGUUCCGCAACCUCGUCCAGGGCGAUCUCUCCAUCGCCGAAUACAGCAGGCGACUCAAGUCCCUUGCUGACGCCCUCAAGGACGUGGGCGAACGCGUCACCGAUCAGUCCCUCACUCUCCAGCUCAUUCGCGGCCUAAACCGUAAGUACCACGUCAUGGCCACCCUCUUGCCGAUGCAGUCGUCGUUUCCUUCUUUUGUGCAGGCCCGCUCGCGGCUACUCAUGGAGGAGAUCUCGGCCAACGAGCGGGCUCGCCUGGACGGUCGCCCCGAAGCAACAGCCACAGUGCUCCACAUCGGCCAGGGUUUCGGUGGCGGCUCCGGUGGCACCAGUGGCUCCUCCGGGGGCUCCUCCGUCGACCGUGGUGGCUCCGGCGGUUCCCAAAACGACCGCGGCAAGGGCCCAGCCGCGUUCCCCACCUCCGAUCGCGGUGGCCGCGGGCGCGGGCGCGGCGCCCAGUCUCCUGGUGGCACCCCGACGGGUCGCGGUGGUGCCCCGCCUGCUCCUGGAGCGCUAGCGCCUCUCUCCACCGGGUACUUCGCUCCUUACGGGGCCCUGCUUCCCGGCCUGCCCCAGCCUCGCGCGCCCUGGGCUGCCCCCAACGCUGCAGGUGUCCUCGGCCCACGCCCGCCACCGCCGCACUAG